Molecule: ribosomal RNA, 477 nt
Filed under: Anchoa ischana (slender anchovy)
Lineage: Eukaryota; Metazoa; Chordata; Actinopteri; Clupeiformes; Engraulidae
Description: partial 16S ribosomal RNA
Rfam family: Bacterial large subunit ribosomal RNA
Source: RNAcentral
UAUUCUAACCGUGCGAAGGUAGCGCAAUCAAUUGCCUUUUAAAUGAAGGCCUGUAUGAAUGGUAUAACGAGGGUCUAACUGUCUCUUUUUUCUAGUCAGUUAAACUGAUCUGUCCGUGCAGAAGCGGACAUCCCAAUACAAGACGAGAAGACCCUAUGGAGCUUUAGACACUAGCCAACUGUGAAUAAGCGACUGAACUACACAAGUCUUAAAUACCCACAGCCCCUGGUAAUGUAGUCUUAGGUUGGGGCGACCACGGGAGAAAACAAAGCUCCCAAGCAGACCGGGACAACCCUUAAGCCGAGAGUUGCAACUCUAAGCCGCAAAAAUUUUGACUGAAAUGAUCCGGUUGAAAAACCGAUUAACGAACCAAGUUACCCUAGGGAUAACAGCGCAAUCCUCUCCCAGAGUCCCUAUCGACGAGGGGGUUUACGACCUCGAUGUUGGAUCAGGACAUCCUAAUGGUGCAGCCGCUAU